Molecule: long non-coding RNA, 13224 nt
Filed under: Fragaria vesca (wild strawberry)
Lineage: Eukaryota; Viridiplantae; Streptophyta; Magnoliopsida; Rosales; Rosaceae
Description: long non-coding RNA (FVES_LNC001812)
Source: RNAcentral
ACCUCCUCUCUCUCCCCGGCCUAGCCCCCGAGUCGUUAGCCCGCCGGAAGAGGAGAAAACUCGCCGGAGACGCCGGAAGCUUUUUUGCCAGAAAUCCCACCUCCGGCCACCAUAGGUCGGAAUCUUUGGCUCAUCUUGUAGCCCUCAUCAAGGUGAGUAUUCCCUCAAAAGGAAUUAGUCUAUUUCGUUGUUGUUAUGGAGAAAUAUAUAAUUGAAGUUUUUAGGGAUUUAUGGAAGUUUUGAUUCAUUGGCCCUAGUUAGCCUUAGAAAUGGACUAAGUGCUAGUUAUGAAUGUUGUUGAGCAUGAUGAGAGGAAUAUUCUGUGAAAAUUUGAGAAGCAUUGGAGGUCGCCGGAAAAUGGCUGCCGGCCGCCGCCACCGGCGGGCCAGCCGCCGCCGCCGCCCCUUAAGGGCAGUUUUUCAUGCUUUUUGGGUUUGUUUUAAUGAGAGGAGUUUAAUGAAGUAUAGUUUGGAAUUUUUGGAGGAGAUUUGAUAAGGUUUAGGAUUUAUCUAUGAUUAAGGAUUUAGGCGGUUAUUCGAAUAGAAAUCCGGCAGUUGGUUUAGCAGGUUUUAAAGUCUAAAAAGGUUAAAUUAUGGCUUUCGGUAAGUGCGGAGUAAUGUGAACCUUAUUAGGUAAAAUGUGGAGAAGUUGGGCAAGAGAAAUGAAAUUAUAGGCUUCCUUUUUAUUUCGGGAAUUUUAUUAAAGUUUUGUCCUGGUUUGGAGGCUUAAUGAUUAUUUAUUGUUCAGGACGUGAGGAGGAUCAUUUGGAGGAAGCCUCGGGCCGUCGGCAAGCAUAGCCUAGCACGGUGAGUGGACCUUUGAUUUUAAUAUCAUGCAUGCGCUAAAGUUAUUUAAUUUCAAAGGCAUUUGGAGAUAUAAUAAUUUGUUGGAUUAUCGAGUUCCACUUAUUUUUUUUUCCGGAACUCGUCUGCUAAUUUUAGUUGACUACGUGGGACGUGUCAAGUGUUUAUAUUAUUUCCAUGUACAGUUGGGAACUGUACUGUGCGCUAUGAGUUUUUUUUUAAUUUAAUUUGGGGAAGUGUGGAUCUUUGUAUUUAAUAUUGUAUUUCACCAUAAAAGGGUUGAUAUAUAGAUUAUUGCUAGCUAACCUUAUUAGCGGUUCUCAUCAUAUGUGAGUAGAGCGCUUAGCGUGGGACGCUAUUAUAGCCUGGGAGGCAACCGAACGGUACAUAUAUAUAUAAUAUUUAUUGUUAGCUAGCCAUUAUUUAGCGGUCCUCAUCAUAUGAGAGUUGAGCGCUUAGCGUAUGACGCUAUUAUAACUUUUUAAGCGGUCCUCAUCAUAUGUGAGUAGAGCGCUUAGCGUGGGACGCUAUUAUAGCCUGGGAGGCUCAUUGUUAUGGUGAAACAUUUUCCCUAUUUUUAUUGAUUUAUUGGGAACCAAUGGGAUUGGUUCAUUAGUUUUGUCUAUAAUUAUUUUCGGAAAGAUUUCCAAGAAUGGCAUGCAUAAUAUAAAUAUUUUUCUCAAUGGAAAAUAUGGGAAAAGCGUUAAAUUGAUUUCAAUGCUCUAUCAUUAAGUCCGUAUUUUUAUUAUUUAUUUUGUCCACUCACUCUAACGUUUUAAAUGCUUUCCCUUGGGCCUUUCGUUUUAAAUGCCCAGUAUGUAGAGUUCUGUUCGGCGAGGGUAGGAGGCGAGUCAUAUUUCCCACCUCAUCCAGUUUUCUCUCAUAGGUUACUAGUUAACCUACCUAUGUAUUUUCUUCUUUCCUAGUAGUUGCUCUGAUAACCUUGGGAUGUUUUAAGUGUUGUUGUUGUUGUUGUUGUUAAUGUUGCGAGUUAAGAGCUUAUGACUCCACCUAUGAGUGUUGAAAAAGGUUUAUUUGGCAUGUUAUAUGAGGGAUUAAAUUCAUGAAAUUAUUUCGAUUUAUUAUGUUGGUUGAGGUGGUGGAUGUUUAUUUGGGGGAGCGGAUGGCUCCAGAAGACGUGGAUUGAAUUGUUUUAGACGUGUUUGGGUUUUGGUGAUUUUUUUCUUCUAGGUAGGGUUACUCAUUUUCAAGGGAAGUUAUGCCAAAAUUUUGGUAGAAUUUCCCUUCAGGUGGGUCCCGCAGGGUUUAUUCCGGAUUUCAAGGGGAAAUCCGGGGUAGGUCUUGACAGUUGGUAUCAGAGCAUUAGGUUAUUCGAUUCCUUCCUCAUUCUAAUACUACCUCAUAUACUUGGUCAUAUUUAGUGUCUAUAGAGUGAUUGUCUGACCGCGGCGGAUCCGUUAGCAUUUUAUGUUUUGGAUACUAUGUGUUGAUUAGGUUUGUGAGGUAGUUGUUCUUGUCUUCUUAUGGACAGUAUAGUGUCAUAAUUGUCUACAUCUUCAGGACUAUGUCUCUGUACACCGACCUUUUAAGUGAUCAUCCUGCUUUGAGAAAUGAAAAGGUGUUUAGAUUCUGUCUUUUCCAAGGAUUAUGCAGUUUCUUGGUGAAAUUAGUUAUGAAAUAAGAGACUCCAUAUGGGUUUAAGUGUUGCCCUGUUUUGAAGUAAAUUGUGGAAAAGUAUUGCUUGAGCUAGUAAAUCGUGGACGUUAUUUGAGGCGUUGCGUGAGGCUGUUAAGAAUUUUUUUGGAUUUGAUGUGUUAAGGUUGGUUUCUGGGUUAGUUGAAGUUGGUUGAGGCUUUCAUCAUAAUGACCCCAGGAUUAUUUUCCUUGGGUUGUUGGCUUUUCAAUAGCCAAUGGACAUAGCAUUGUGACAUAUUUAUUCAUGUGUCAUAGUAAGAAUUUAAGAAAUUGAAUGGUGUUACUAAAUGUUUCGGAUUUUAAGCAAGCUUUAGCAUUGAGUGGCAUCUGUCGGUUAUAGUAUUUUAACCGUGGGGCCAUUAUGGAUUCCUCCGGAAUUCUAUGUGCUAAAGUUUGAUUUCGGAAUUUGUUAGAGUGUUUUGGAAAGACGGUAAAUGCAAAUGACUUUGAAACGUAAUGCUAGACUGGAAGCGAGAUGGUUAUGGUGGCUUCGGCUUUACGACAACAUAGCGUGAAUUUAAUAUGUGUUGUCAUGUGUAUUCUAAGAUAGUUGCGUGGAGUUGGUGGAAGUGGCAGCGGUGGAAUAAAGCCCAAUAGAGUGUAAUUUAGGGUGUCAAGCUUAUUUAGCUCAUGUGGUGGAUACUAGAAAGGGAGAUAGAUUUUACAAUUGAGCUACUUCCUGGAACGGCUCCUAUUUCUCAAGCGCCUUAUAGGAUGGCACCUGCAAAAUUAAAAGAGUUAAAAACUCAAUUGCAGGAGUUAUCUCCCCCCCUUAAAAAAAAUUUCGUCCUCGAAAUUUCAAACUGAAUGAGCUAAGGCUAACGAUCAUUGAUCGACAAUAUACUACACUUUGUUUCGUUAAGAAACUCAAUGGCUCGACUCUGCCUAUCCAAACGCGGCAUCGUUACAAUUAAAACACCGGUGACUCUGGUUCACCAAUCUCUCGCUUGACUGAGUAAAGCUUCUUUCAACGGAACUAAAUCUUUCGCUGAACCAUAAUUGUAUGCACUUAAGCAAAUUCAAAAUGCCUGCUCCAGAGCACGAGUACCCGUAGGUAUGCACAUGCUCAUAGAGGUCACAAUUAAGACCCGCUAAUUGAACGUAUUUAAGGAUGCAUACAUUGCAUAAAUUGCAACAAUCACUUCUAAUACCGAGAUACUUCGCGAAGCCAAAGCUCACACAAUACCACAAGACAACCCUUCUUCGCCUAAGCGAUUAUUCCAACAAGAGUUUAACCUCAAUCGCCGGAAUAAAAUUAUAUAGUGAUCAAUAACUACUUCACUUAGGUCUCUCCACCAAAACUAUGACAUUACCAUUUGUGCAUACAACGAGCAACUUAUGGGAAUUCAAGUUCUCUCUUGAUUAUGUUAUCCCCAUUAAUCUCUUUACCACUAACCAGAAAAUGAUCUGAAGCAUGACUAUCAUGUGGAAACGGGAUAUUCCUCCUUGCUUUCCAUAAACAAAAUUGACUAAUAAUGCCCACGACAAAAUAGUACAGUCAAUUCAGGCUACCUGACUUAACGUUUGAAAAUCACAUUCCUUAAGCUUUAGCAGAAUCUACAACCCCAGCCAUGCUACUUAUUCGGGUUCAACCGCGGCCCUAAAUUCAAUAGUUAAAACCACACAGCUUACUCUAGCUGUUUCAUGAGAAAGAUUCUAGAUGCCAAAAUCUUUGACUGAACAGACACACUUCUCUUCUUACUUCCUCAUCAAUUAAUCUGACUGCAAAACAAGAUCCUCAAAUCAUUUUUGGUCAAAACUCUUGUACACGUUUGGCGCUUCGGUUUCGAAACCCAAAGGCUUCUGACCAAUAUAUGGUCAACUAGGAAAAUUUACACCCACUACAUUUUUUUUUACCACAUUUUUACCAUCUCCAAAAAUUACUCUUUUAAAUCAUAACUUUUUCAUGCUAAUUCCGAUUUUAACACAUAGCAUGUCUACGAACUCGUAAUAACGUCCUCUACGACUUUUAUGAAGAAAGUUUUCCCAAAUUCCAAACACAAGAAAAAGUCAACUCUAGGGUCCUUAAGUGAUAAACGGUUACUUAACACGGUAAAAGACCAAAAUAAUACCAAAGUAAAUAACCGUAAAAUAACUUAAGAACCGGGGUGUGACAACCUUCACCCUCAAUCGAUAAGCAGAGACCUCCCACCACCACCUAGCCUACAAGCAGCCCCCUACUUCGCUGCAGCACAACAACAGCGGCGUCCAAAGCUUCCUCUCGCCGGAAGUAACUUCCUUGCCGGAAAUUUGAGUUCAGGUCUCCUCCAACACAGCAGCAGAAACACCCCUUGUCUCCAUAUAACCUAGUCUUGGCUCUCUGGUGAUCGAUGGCCCAGAUUAAAAGUUAUACUCUAAUUUCAGAAAAUUAAUUUUCUUUUACCAAACCUUCGAUAAAACGUAGAAAAUAACUAACGCCUCGUACCCAAUUUUUAUCUAUAAUUAAGGAUUUAGGCGGUUAUUCAAAUGGAAAUCCGGCAGUUGGUUUAGCAGGUUUUAAAGUCUAAAAAGGUUAAAUUAUGGCUUUCGGUAAGUGCGGAGUAAUGUGAACCUUAUUAGGUAAAAUGUGGAGAAGUUGGGCAAGAGAAAUGAAAUUAUAGGCUUCCUUUUUAUUUCGGGAAUUUUAUUAAAGUUUUGUCCUGGUUUGGAGGCUUAAUGAUUAUUUAUUGUUCAGGACGUGAGGAGGAUCAUUUGGAGGAACCCUCGGGCCGUCGGCAAGCAUAGCCUACCAUGGUGAGUGGACCUUUGAUUUUAAUAUCAUGCAUGCGCUAAAGUUAUUUAAUUUCAAAGGCAUUUGGAGAUAUAAUAAUUUGUUGGAUUAUCGAGUUCCACUUAUUUUUUUUUCCGGUAACUCUCUUGCUAAUUUUAGNNNNNNNNNNNNNNNNNNNNCUCAUCAUAUGUGAGUAGAGCGCUUAGCGUGGGACGCUAUUAUAGCCUGGGAGGCUCAUUGUUAUGGUGAAACAUUUUCCCUAUUUUUAUUGAUUUAUUGGGAACCAAUGGGAUUGGUUCAUUAGUUUUGUCUAUAAUUAUUUUCGGAAAGAUUUCCAAGAAUGGCAUGCAUAAAAUAAAUAUUUUUCUCAAUGGAAAAUAUGGGAAAAGCGUUAAAUUGAUUUCAAUGCUCUAUCAUUAAGUCUGUAUUUUUAUUAUUUAUUUUGUCCACUCACUCUAACGUUUUAAAUGCUUUCCCCUGGGCCUUUCGUUUUAAAUGCCCAGUCUGCAGAGUUCUGUUCGGCGAGGGUAGGAGGCGAGUCAUAUUUCCCACCUCAUCCAGUUUUCUCUCAUAGGUUACUAGUUAACCUACCUAUGUAUUUUCUUCUUUCCUAGUAGUUGCUCUGAUAACCUUGGGAUGUUUUAAGUGUUGUUGUUGUUGUUGUUGUUAAUGUUGCGAGUUAAGAGCUUAUGACUCCACCUAUGAGUGUUGAAAAAGGUUUAUUUGGCAUGUUAUAUGAGGGAUUAAAUUCAUGAAAUUAUUUCGAUUUAUUAUGUUGGUUGAGGUGGUGGAUAUUUAUUUGGGGGAACGGAUGGCUCCAGAAGACAUGGAUUGAAUUGUUUUAGAAGUGUUUGGGUUUUGGUGAUUUUUUUCUUCUAGGUAGGGUUACUCAUUUUCAAGGGAAGUUAUGCCAAAAUUUUAGUAGAAUUUCCCUUGAGGUGGGUCCCGCAGGGUUUAUUCCGGAUUUCAAGGGGAAAUCCGGGGUAGGUCCUGACAAGAACAUUGUGGUUGUCUCAAUAGAAUAUGUAAAGCCUAAAUGAAAUUUGUAGGAGCAGCAAAAUUCCCCCUACUUUUCAAUCUUACAAGUUAGUCUUUAAAAUAACCCUAGCUUUCACCACACAACGGAGAAAACACUAAGAGUUGUCUAAAUAUGGAGGUUUGUGGUCAACCAUUAAUCGACCAUCUUAAUUACACGAAAACACGCUAAUCUGCAAUAUCUUUACUUAUUUUUUAGCGUUUGUCGACAAUCGUAGCCUUGUAGUGUUAUUGUAUAUGAACUCAUGUAAGAAGUUGGUGUCAAUUAUAUCCCGGUGGAUUGGCUCCCCACAGAGAAACCUAAGUGUAAUUAGGGUUGACCGCAUCGAUCGGCACCCAUAUAAUACCAAAAAUUGAUGACGUUUCUACCACAAUCAUGCUUCAAUAUCGUGAACAUGUCUAUACGGUUCGAUUUUCAAAAUUUCAUUUCCUCAAUAGUGUCUCUCUAGAUAAACACACUUUUAUAUAAGAUAUACUACACAUGUUAUGUCAUAUUAUGUGCAACAUAAUAAACAUGUUAUACCUCAUUAGUAGAUUGAUUGUGAUCUAGAUGUUUAGGAUUAAGAUCAUGAAAAUCGACCGUUGGAUAUAAUUAUGAUAGUGAAGUAUAGUAGUGUAACAAAAUUCACAAAUUUUCGGUAACGUUUGGGUAUCGAUCGGUCAACCAUAAAUUCAACAAUAUUAAUUUUACGUCAUACAUCAGUAUAGAAAACAAUUGUUGUGGCACUACGAUAGGAAUUUUGGCUUUAAAUAUUAGGGCUUUUUAAGGUUUAAGGUAUUUUAGGGGUUAGAGGUUACAAUACAUACAACAUAAUAUCGAAAACAAUUGUGUGACAUAUUUAAAAAUUAUACCUUCACACAACAUUUUCUUAGUUCAUUGUUGUGGGAUGAAGAACUUAAAAUAGUAGUGUCAAAUGUAAGAGAGGGACUUCAUGACACAAAAUUACAUUAUAAAACCAAAAUUGAAAAGUCGUUGUGUGACUGCUGAAAAUACUAUACUCCCACACAACAGGUUUGAGUGUUCCGUUGUUACAUCAAAACCACCAAGAUAUCUUUCACAAAAAAUUUAGGUUUUGAGAGGAUGUAAGAGCCAAUUUGAAAACGAAAAAGUGCGUAGCUUGACAUGAGAGAUAUAUCGUACAACAUAUAUAUAAAAAGUAUUGUAUGAUAGUUUAAAUUUUAUACCUUCACACAACAUUUAUUUGUUUCACUGUUGUGUAAGGAACCCCAGUUCUAAGUCAAACCAGAGUGGGGUUAGAAGCAAAACGGGCCUCAUUUUAUCUUCAUUCACACAACAAAAUAUUGUCCAAAGUGUUGUACUGGUUUAAGGAAAAAAAAAUCUAGAAUGAUCUCAGACUAUCCACACAACGCCUGACAAUUUUUUGAAUGUUGUAUGAAGCAUUUUUGAAAUUUGUACAACCUGGCUAUUCCACCCCGUUGUGUGAAAAGUGUCGUUUGUUGCACUUAUUGGCGUAGUGAGGGCUAGCAGCACCUCCCCCUCUUUUCUAGACAUCGGCGUGGCUUUUUCUACCAUUGUCGUGACCCAUAUUAUUUUCCCACACUAGGAAACAAUCUCAUGUGUGUAGGCCAAUACGUUUAUCUUAUUAGCGUAUAUGUAAUUCCCGUUUGCAAUUGUAUGAUCAAAAUCAAGCCUCAUCGGUAAUUCCAAGAGAGUAAAAUAAGGUGAUGAUGAUCUAGAGAACAUAAACCAACUUGGAGGACCUAGAAAACUUGAUGAUGAUCGAAUCUGCUAAAGAUUAUGGAUCAUGAUGCCACAAAAUAUCAUCGACAAUAUGUAGUCAAAUAAGGUGGUAAGUAAUCCAUUUAACUAAUAACUCAACAAGUAGAGUUAUAUGAACGUUUCAAAAAAUGCUCCAUGAGUGCAUUCCACAGUACUUUGUGGUCAUUACUUUUUGCACAGAUUACCGUUAAAGGCUGUUGUCGAUGUGGCACCUCAAAACUUUGAGCGCAAGAGAUAUGUAAUUUCGGCAUCUAGGCUUGAUAAUCUUGGGGUCAAAAUAUAUUGUUUAAUUCUUUCCAAAGAAAGGUUCCACAAAUACCUAGCGCAGUGUCGUCUUAGGCAUCGAGUACGUCAAAACUCAAAGGAGCAGAAUAGUACAUUGCUCUUGCAUACAAAACCAAGCAGUGAUAAGACUCGAUAGAAGUCACAAAUGAUGUUUUUUAAUGGGUUGUCCUACGGAUUGUUCACACACAAUCCGGAAAAGCCACGAAUUGAUCAAACACAAUUCAGAAAAAAGCCUCGGAUUGAUCAAACACAAUCCGGAGAAAUAUUGGGGUUGAUCACACACAACCCGGACAAGGAAACAAGAGUAAUUAAACAUACUCUUGACUCGCGGAUAAAAUUUCAGGAUUUUGGUACCUGCACGCAUAAAAUCCCAAGCAUAGAAUGAAGAUGGAGAAGGGAGGAAAAUACUUUAUCCUCCCCGAGUUAUUGAACUUGAAAAAAUUUAGGGUUUCAAAACAUACCUUUCGAAACUUCAAACAUUUGAAGAAGUCAAAAAUUAUAGUCGGAGGAAACCAAGAAUUUUCGGUGAGCGGCGGCCAAGGGAUUAGCAACCGGUGAUGUCAGACGGCGGUCGGGAAAACGGGCGGCGGUAGGACAAAAGAGCCGAAAAACGCUUUUUAGGGUUCCGAAAAACAAAUGGUGGGCUAUUAACUCUAGGGUUAGAACACAAUGCAUGACAACGUGAUCAAGUAUAAACAGUAGACAAAGAGAUCUAGUAAGAGAAUAGAGAAUCAUCAUCUUAUUCAUUAACAGGAGCCCUUUAUAUAAGGAAUUACAAAGUACCAAUAUGAUAAUGAUAAGGAAUACAAUCAUAUUCUAACUACAUAUCCUGAUGCCAUAAGACCAAGACACACAUAUGAAAUAUCCUAAAACAAAAUUACCAAAAUAUCAGAAUUCUUAGAUAGUUUACAUUUACAAUUUCUUUUCUUUUUCUAGGUCUACCACAUAUGGUAUUUAUGCAUUAAUGCUCAAUUAACUUUAAAUUAUUCUUUACAUAUACGUGUACAUACGAAAUAAAGAGAGAGCUCGAGCUUGAUGAACAAUUCAGUCUGUUAUACUUCAAGAACAAUAAGUUAUGAAGAAAUUCAACAACUAACAAACAUAAUGAAUACAAAAACAAAAUACUCACAGAUAUGUAUCAUGUAUGUAACUGAUAUAUAAUGUUACCUAUGCUUAUAAUAUUGUUGGUUUAAACAACAUUGAACAUAGGAGCUGUAAUACCCCGGAAAUUUAAUAUUAGUUUCUAUUUUUAUUUUGGAAAUUAUCUAAGUAGGAGUCGUGCGGAUUUGUAGUUUAGUGAGUGAACUGGAAGUAGUCGAGUUUUUAUUUCCUUGAAAAUGCUUUUUCUUGAAGGGUCAAGAGUUGACUUUUUAGUCUGUUGGGUUUCUCGAGAAACUUCCUUCACGGAAGUUGUAGAGCACGACAAUACGAGUUCGUAGACACGUGGCACGCGUAAAAUGGACUUCGUACGAGGAAGUUAUGGUAAGCGGAAUUUCGUGACUUUAAGGGAAUUUUGGGGUUAAAUAAGAAAAGUGUUAGGUUUCCUUUUCAUUUUUUUUUUCCGGUAACCAUUUCUCCCUCUUCUCUUUCUCUCCCGCUCCUCACCUUCAGUACCUAAGUUUCCCAACUGACCCGACCCGGAUUUUUCGGCCGACUCAGACGGUGGCACCGAUCAAGUUUUCUUCCUCUCCUUGGCGUGAUCUUCCCUGUGUAGGUGGGUGAGGACGACUCAAGAGGGAUUGUGAGAAUCGAGCGUUGCAGCGGAGGGUGGUGAACCCGACUUCGACCAGAGGGCGUUCCGGCCGUGUGCGGCGGCGACGCAGCUUGGAACCAGUCGGGAUAGACGCUCCUUGGCGUCCUGGUUCGUUUGCUGGUAGUCUUCUAGCGCGGCUCACGGUGUAGAGUUGCGGUGAAGGAUUUCCAACCUUCCGGCCGGUUUUCCGGCGUGCUCAGACCGAUUGGGCGGGUACUCCAAGUAUGAAAGAUGCUUAGUUUCACUUGUUUGUCGUUUUGGGCUGCUUGGAGUGUCAAUAGAAUGAGGUUUGGGGUGGCGCGUGGAAGCGCGUCCGGGCAACGUGAAUGGGUUAGUUGCUAUGUUAGCUAGUAUGUGUUGCUGUGAGUGACUGCUUUACGGAUUAGAUUCGGUUUUCCCUUAUUAAUCUUUUGGAAAUUAAGGAGAUUGUUGUUGUAGAUAUGACAUGGUGUGUGUCAAUUUUUCUAUGAUCUUGAGAGGUUUCGGGGAAAGCUUGUUCUCAAGGGACAAGUCUUUGGGUUAAAUGAGGUCAAGGUCCAAGAGUGAAAUGUCAUAGUCGCAUCUAGUAAGUGAUAAUCACUUGUUUUGCUGGUCACUAAGUUGAUUUGUGCUAUCUAGGUGUUGGACAAGUUGGUGUUGUGCUUGUUUUUGAGUUUCUUUUAUGAAGACGCAACGGAAUUUUUAGGUGAGUAACAUCUCACCAAGGUCCACUUUCGGACCAAUUAUUUUAUAAUUAUUAUGAUGUGAUUGUGAUGUUGAUUUUGAAAAUGAUUAUGAUGAUGAUUGUGAUUGUUAUGAUGAUGAUGAGGUUAAUGAUAAUGAUGAUAAUGUUGAUGGAAAUGUUGAUGAUAUGAUGAUUAUGAUGCAAUUUUUUUAUAUUGUGAGUAAAUCUCACAUGGAUUCUUAAGGAACCGAGUUUAUUUUUAUAAUUUCAUUAUUGUUAGUUGUGAAAUUGUCCUUAACGGAAAAUGAUUUUUGUUUUAAAAAUAAAUGAGCUUGAUCGUCAACGGCUCAUGGGUAAGUGAAAAUAUGUUUUCUGGUAAAAUAAAAUCUUUCAAAAGGACUUUCUAUCAUGUGAUAUUGUGAUGUUGAAAUAUGGUUGAUAUAUUAUUCUAGUGGGAAUAUUUAUGUCUUCAUUUAUAUAAAUAUAUCUAGGCGGAAAGAUAUAAUUAAUGAAAUGCUCUUGUGUUGUCGUCGAUGAUAUAUUUUAUAUUGUGAAUUGUUGUUUAAAUAGUCAAACCGGGUUCCAAGCCUUUAAUCGGGUGAUUGGUUACGGUUAUGAUUAUAUUAUUAAUUUGUGAUUUGAUAAGUGUUAUGAUGGGAGUAUAAUUGAAUGCGUGCCUUAGGGUGGUUCUGUGCAUUAGUUGUGUAUGUGUAUGCCUUAGUGGUGAUUUUUAGUUUAGGAGCCUUCGUGGUGGACCGGGAACCAAGCCUUGGCCGGGUGAUUGGUAACGGCCAGUAUAGAGCUCUAGUCUGUCAGUUGGUACUUCAUGGGGGAUGACUAAGUGUUGACGAACCCAUGAGUACGCAUUGUUGGUCACUUAUGGGGGAUGACUAAGUGUUGGCGAACUCAUAAGUAAGAGUAGAGAAAUGAUUGUAUGAUGUUUUAUAUGUUGUCUUUUAAAAUUCCUUGUUUUAAGUAUUUCCUGAACUAUGCCUUUUUACAGGAUUUCAUUUUGAUUUGUGUGAUUGUGAAUUGUUGCGUUUUCUUUUAAUUAUUGUUUCAUUUAUGAUUUUGAGUGAUUUUGAGUUAUUGUGUUUUCUUAAUUGUUUCGUUGAAUUCUCUUGCUUUUAGGUGAUUCCUGAACUAAGUUAUUAAUACAGGAAUUACUAAUUUUAAUUAGGGGAAAUGCCCAUUUAGUACUAAUUCAAACCCCUUAUUUCCCAUUCCAAUGAUAAUCUUUUGCAUUAGCCCAUUCCAAUAUAAGGUAACCAUUUUUAUGCCCAAAUGCACAAAUCUUUACUAAAACCUUAACAAACCAUAUUAUUUUAAGACUAUUUUGCCCCCACCUCUUCAACAUGAAAAGACUUGGCCGAAACCUCGGACUCCGGUCCCCGGCCGCUAGACACCGGACUUUGGACUCCGGUCACCGACCGCCGGAUUCCGGUCACCGGAAUUUCCCCGACCGCCGGAUUCUGGUUACCGGAUUUUCCCCGACCGCCGGAUUUCGGUCACCGGAUUUUUCCCUGUAACUAGUUACUGACCCCCAAUAAUCAGUUACUGACCAGUUAAUGACCCAUAAUAACUAGUUACUAACCCCCAGUAACCAGUUAUUGAUUAAUUACUAACACCCAGUAACCAGUUACUGACCCCCAGUAAUCAGUUACUGACCCCCAAUAACUUUUAGUUUUCAGUUACUGACACCCAGUAAUCACUUAGUUUUCAGUUACUGACACCCAGUAAUCACUUAGUUUUCAGUUACUAACCCUUAAUAAUCUUGGUUACUGACCCCCAAUAAUCGGUUACUGACCCCUAAUAAUCUUGGUUACUGACACCCAAUAACCAGUUACUGACCCCCAAUAACUUGGUUACUGACCCCCAAUAAUCAACUUAUUUCAGCUUAUUGUAAUAGAAAAGAAGAAAUACUAGAACAUAAUCGAGUUAUUGACCGCCAAUAAUCAAUCAAAACUACAACACGAAUAAUCAAACUACCUAUAUGCUACAAAAAUACAACUACACCUACCGCAGAGCCAUGCACCCUCACACAUCGGAUCUACUCCCUUACCAUGCACCUUCCCUCACCGUACACCUCCCUCAUCAAAACUGCUUCACCCCCUUCACCACGCACCCGACGCCUUCGAUCUGGCCAUGGAGGCAGAGGCGGAGGCUGCCUAUGAACCUGCUCGUUGGCCUAGUCGAGCAGGCGGGACGAGUACAGGCGGGACGUCCUCGAUGUAGCCGGAGGGAGCUUCGCUACAUCGUCACCAGAGAAGGACAACACCGGAGAUGACGACGACGUUUGGCGAGUGGCACAACGUUUUGGAUCUGCUGCCGGGGUCGGAUGAGGGGGCUCGGAGAAGGAGGGCGUUGACGAGCGGCGUUGAUUUCCGACAGCGGUGAAGGAGGUUGCAGAGGAGAGAGCAGAGGUAGGUUUAGAGAUUUGAUACUCGUUGCUCGUCAUCACAGCAUCGGCGCAGGUGUUGUUGAAGCAUAAGCUGCGUCGGCGUCGGUGGCGUCAUUGCGUCGUCCAGGAGAGAGAGAGAGAGAGAGAGAGAGAGAGAGAGAGAGAGAGAGAGAGAG